Molecule: long non-coding RNA, 255 nt
Filed under: Fukomys damarensis (Damara mole-rat)
Lineage: Eukaryota; Metazoa; Chordata; Mammalia; Rodentia; Bathyergidae
Description: lncRNA (ENSFDAG00000033611.1)
Source: RNAcentral
AUGAUGAAACAGAUUUAUGCUCUGUUUUUCUCUGUAUUUCUCAAAAUCUUCAUAAAGAAUGUUAAAGAUGGCCAAGUUAAAUAUUAUUUCUCGAGCUUUGAUAAUCCUUUACGUGGAUUCAUUUCCAUCAUAGAAAUGGAGAGGCAAGAUGCUGGGGAACCAGAAAGCCCUGAAGGAAGACAGGCUCUCCAGUCCUGUGAGGUCCUUGGUCACACAGAGCUGCAAUUGGAGCUGCUAAGGUUCUCUGAAGCAUGA